RNAcentral lists this ribosomal RNA (460 nucleotides) under uncultured bacterium. Its description in RNAcentral is "partial 16S ribosomal RNA". It matches the Rfam family "Bacterial small subunit ribosomal RNA", at positions 338 to 795 of the family's 1533-position model. The record is from RNAcentral.
CCUACGGGAGGCAGCAGUGAGGAAUAUUGGUCAAUGGACGAGAGUCUGAACCAGCCAAGUAGCGUGAAGGAUGACUGCCCUAUGGGUUGUAAACUUCUUUUAUAUGGGAAUAAAACGUUCCACGUGUGGGAUUUUGUAUGUACCAUAUGAAUAAGGAUCGGCUAACUCCGUGCCAGCAGCCGCGGUAAUACGGAGGAUCCGAGCGUUAUCCGGAUUUAUUGGGUUUAAAGGGAGCGUAGGUGGAUUGUUAAGUCAGUUGUGAAAGUUUGGGGCUCAACCGUAAAAUUGCAGUUGAAACUGGCAGUCUUGAGUACAGUAGAGGUAGGCGGAAUACGUGGUGUAGCGGUGAAAUGCUUAGAUAUAACGAAGAACUCCGAUUGCGAAGGCAGUUCACUGGACUGCAACUGACACUGAGGCUCGAAAGUGUGGGUAUCAAACAGGAUUAGAUACCCCUGUAGUC